GGCCUGAUGGUCUAGUGGUACGAUGCUUGCUUCGGGUGGCCAUUUCACCCGCCUUUUAUGAAGGGCGAAGAUGCAAGAGGUCCCGGGUUCAAUUCCCGGUCAGGCCC
This is a non-coding RNA of Pleurotus pulmonarius, 107 nucleotides long. The record is from the annotation of a GenBank genome assembly. Lineage: Eukaryota; Fungi; Basidiomycota; Agaricomycetes; Agaricales; Pleurotaceae.